GCUCAGCCGGGUGGUGAUGGUCGCUGCGCAGGCUUUUAAUCCCAGCCCUUGGGAAGCAGAGGCAAGAAGAAGGCACCAGAUCUUAUCAGAGAUGACUGUGAAUCAUCUUGUGGUUGCUGGAAAUUGAACUCAGGACCUCUGGAAGAGGUAAUUUUGAAUUGCUCAGCAUUUCAGAGUUUACUGCACUUACUGAGUAGCCCCAAGGGAUCUACCAAAAAGGAAACCUGUUGGACAGUAUCUAAUAUUGCAGCUGGAAAUAGGGCACAGA
This is a long non-coding RNA of Arvicola amphibius (Eurasian water vole), 268 nucleotides long. RefSeq lists it as uncharacterized. The transcript is spliced from 3 exons. NCBI's taxonomy places the organism in Eukaryota, Metazoa, Chordata, Mammalia, Rodentia, Cricetidae. The record is from RefSeq and is a predicted model, not a curated record.